CCUACGGGUGGCAGCAGUGAGGAAUAUUGGUCAAUGGUCGGGAGACUGAACCAGCCAAGCCGCGUGAGGGAUGAAGGUACAGAGUAUCGUAAACCUCUUUUGUCAGGGAACAAAGGCGGGGACGUGUCCCCGGAUGAGUGUACCUGAAGAAAAAGCAUCGGCUAACUCCGUGCCAGCAGCCGCGGUAAUACGGAGGAUGCGAGCGUUAUCCGGAUUUAGUGGGGUUAAAGGGUGCGCAGGCGGUCUGUUAAGUCGGCGGUCAAAGCCCGGGGCUCAACCCCGGCCCGCCGUUGAAACUGGCAGGCUCGAGUUGGAGAGAAGUAUGCGGAAUGCGCGGUGUAGCGGUGAAAUGCAUAGAUAUCGCGCAGAACUCCGAUUGCGAAGGCAGCAUGCCGGCUCCACACUGACGCUGAGGCACGAAAGCGUGGGUAUCGAACAGGAUUAGAUACCCUUGUAGUC
This 459-nucleotide ribosomal RNA is filed under the name uncultured bacterium. RNAcentral describes it as "partial 16S ribosomal RNA". It matches the Rfam family "Bacterial small subunit ribosomal RNA", at positions 338 to 795 of the family's 1533-position model. The record is from RNAcentral.